UCUGUGUUCUCACUGGACAAGUGCUGACUCUCUUUCUCCUUUUAUGCGUGGUUGUUACCCAGGAAAGACCAUCCUACUAGGAGAUCUGUGCAUUCAGAAGCCCAUGCAAGCAGAUGGAAACAGCAGCUGCCAAGCACACUACACCUCCCAGCCUGCAAUAACAAUCACACAUCACCUCACCUCUGGCCCACACCUUCUUACAAGGGAAAGCAAAUGUUGUAGAGAAGGGACAUGGAAAAGGUCUGUACACAGUUCUGACUGGGUGCCAGGGUUGGGACGUGCUCCAGGUACCAUGUUCCUUGCUGCAACCAUCAGCCAUUCAGUCUUUACUUCAUCUGAGCAGGACAGCACACCCUCCCUGUCUUUUUCUGCCUUUCAUCCAUUGUUCCCAGUUCAACAUCAGGACCAUCUCAGGAUCACAGCCCCUGAGAGCUGAAGACUUGAUCAUGAGAUGCAACUGUGUUCUGCUUAGGUAGUUCUUCCCACAGAACAAGGAAGAAAGAAAAACAACAAGGAAGAAGGAUAAGGGUGCCCUUAUGGUGCAGGAUUAUCUGCUCUAUAAUCUAUCUUCCUAGCUUCCUUUUCCUUCAUGAGCUUUGCACUCAUAACUAGGGCAGUUUUGACAUGCCUACCUCUUGCAAUCCAUCAGCCAACCACUGAGCCGAGGAGUGUCUACCAUGUUACUAAUCCCCAGUAAUUACCAGGGGACCAGUCACAGAGUGAACCCUGAGGUUGACUCAGUUUGAUUUACUUCAUUGCUCUCUUCAGCCCAGAUGUUCAGAGAUGCACAGGUUUUUGUGCCAAAGAAUAGCCCAUUUGCAACGAGCGGCCAUUAGGUGCUAAUAUCCCUUUGCCACAGGUUUGGCAAUGUGAGCCAUGCUUACACAGGAACUGCAGCUGCAGGAUAUGAACAUCUGAAAGCACUGUUAGAACAUAAGAAAAAGAAAACAGCUCAGACACAUGACCUCAGGGCCAACAUUUUAUUAAAAAUAUAUAUUAAUGCUGCUCCCUCUGAUAAAGAACUUAUUUAGGCCUUGCUUAAAUUGAAACCUAACCUAUUGCUUAGAACUACUGUAUCUUCCUACCCAGGGGUUUAUUUUGUCACUGGGCCAAAUACAAAGUCAUGUAGUUAGAAGUCUUUGGCACCUGCCUGCACAUUUGCAUCUGGGAAGAAAAUAUUUUUGUCCUUUCUCUCCCUUUCUCUGCAUGCAGUUGGUUUGUAGAGCCAAAGCUACCCCUAGGGCUCACUUCUCAUAUUUGCUCUCAGAACAAAUUGAUUUCCAAGCCACCAAGUGUUGGGAUGGCUGUGGGGAUUGGAAUCUGGUUGGCCGUUUUUGAUGAUAGUCUGUGAAAUUCAAGUGUGACAAAGCAUUCAGGGGGAUGCUUGAUUAUAUUACAAGGUGUGAGGAACUUGGAACCAUAAUAUGGGGACUGCUGUAGAGAAGAUUAUUGUGCCUCACAUUUUCCAGCGUGGUGAGCUUAUAAAACAUAAGUUUUCUUUAUUUUAUACCAUUUUUAUGUUAUAAUUAUGUUUUACCUCGCACUUACAAACUACUAAGACUUUUUAUUCAUUUAAAACCUUGCUGAAUUGGAAAGUUUGAGGCAUGUGUGUUUCACAGCGAUGACAGUUUGAUGCAUUGGUUUUUAUUUGGUUUUAUUUCUGGGGGGUUGAUCAAAUGCCCUUGUCAAAAUUCCUUAAGAACAUCUCGCCCGUAUCCAAGUUUUUAUACUCAAAGUCUUAUUCAAGACCUUAAAACUGACUUUAACUCAUUCAUAAAAAGGUUGUGUUGGCCUUUAUAAGGAGUGGAUUUAACCAAGCUUUGUAACAGUAAUAAUAAACAAUUUUUAAUGACAUCA
RNAcentral lists this long non-coding RNA (1857 nucleotides) under Coturnix japonica (Japanese quail). RNAcentral's name for it is "lncRNA (ENSCJPG00005012324.1)". The record is from RNAcentral. Lineage: Eukaryota; Metazoa; Chordata; Aves; Galliformes; Phasianidae.